AUGGAGGUCGAGAUCAAGCUCCGUCUCCCCGACGCGGCUGCACACCGGCGCCUCUCCUCCUUCCUCGCGCCCCGCCUGCUCCGCACCGACGCCCCAGCGCGGCCCCUCGCCGCCGCCACCGCCGCCCAGCGGAACGUCCGCCUCUACGGCACCGACGACCGCGACCCCUCCCGCGCCGUCCUCACGCUCAAGCGCCGCCCGCGCAUCGACGCCGGCGUCAGCCGCGUUGAGGAGGUCGUGGAGCCCCUCGACCCCGCCCUCGCCCUCACCUGCAUCGACAACCCCGCCCAUCUCGGUGCGGUCGACUCCCCCAUCGUCCGGCUCGUCUCCGACGAGUACGGCGUCGGCGGGGACAAAGCGCCGUUCGUCUGCCUCGGCGGCUUCCGGAACACCCGCGAGCUCGACGAGACACACUUCGAUUUCGGCACAAACUACGAGCUGGAGUGCGAGACCGCGGAGCCCGACCAGGCCAAGGAGGUCCUGGAGCGGCUGCUCACCAGCAAUAAGUUCGCGUGCUUCAUGGCCGGGAAGCUGCUUCCGUGA
This 543-nucleotide ribosomal RNA is filed under the name Triticum aestivum (bread wheat). RNAcentral describes it as "partial small subunit ribosomal RNA". The record is from RNAcentral. Lineage: Eukaryota; Viridiplantae; Streptophyta; Magnoliopsida; Poales; Poaceae.